GAUCAGCAAAGAUGGGGAAUGUGUAGACAUUCAUCGGAACUCCCGGCAAAAGGCUUGCAAAGGUGAUUUCCCUUUC
This 76-nucleotide non-coding RNA is filed under the name unclassified sequences. RNAcentral's name for it is "HTH-XRE RNA". It matches the Rfam family "HTH-XRE RNA". The record is from RNAcentral.